GGGGUUUAGCUCAGUGGUAGAGCGCUUGCCUAGCAAGCGUAAAGGCCCUGGGUUCGGUUCCCAGCUCCG
This 69-nucleotide transfer RNA is filed under the name Rattus norvegicus (Norway rat). It matches the Rfam family "tRNA". From Rfam's summary of the family: Transfer RNA (tRNA) molecules are approximately 80 nucleotides in length. Their secondary structure includes four short double-helical elements and three loops (D, anti-codon, and T loops). The record is from Rfam by way of RNAcentral. Lineage: Eukaryota; Metazoa; Chordata; Mammalia; Rodentia; Muridae.